AGGGGGGGCCCUACCAAUGCAAGUUCGAACGGCGCACAGCAGUAGCAAUACUGUGGGUGGCGAGUGGCGGACGGGUGAGGAAUGCGUCGGAAUCUGCCUUUUUGUGGGGGAUAACGUAGGGAAACUUACGCUAAUACCGCAUACGACCUACGGGUGAAAGUGGGGGACCGCAAGGCCUCACGCAGAAAGAUGAGCCGACGCCGGAUUAGCUAGUUGGCGGGGUAAAGGCCCACCAAGGCGACGAUCCGUAGCUGGUCUGAGAGGAUGAUCAGCCACACUGGGACUGAGACACGGCCCAGACUCCUACGGGAGGCAGCAGUGGGGAAUAUUGGACAAUGGGCGCAAGCCUGAUCCAGCCAUGCCGCGUGUGUGAAGAAGGCCUUCGGGUUGUAAAGCACUUUUGUCCGGAAAGAAAAGCUUGGGAUUAAUACUCUCGAGUCAUGACGGUACCGGAAGAAUAAGCACCGGCUAACUUCGUGCCAGCAGCCGCG
This 491-nucleotide ribosomal RNA is filed under the name uncultured Lysobacter sp. Its description in RNAcentral is "bacterial SSU rRNA". It matches the Rfam family "Bacterial small subunit ribosomal RNA", at positions 38 to 519 of the family's 1533-position model. Lineage: Bacteria; Pseudomonadati; Pseudomonadota; Gammaproteobacteria; Lysobacterales; Lysobacteraceae. The record is from RNAcentral.